AUUGAACGCUGGCGGCAGGCCUAACACAUGCAAGUCGAGCGGAUGAAGGGAGCUUGCUCCUGGAUUCAGCGGCGGACGGGUGAGUAAUGCCUAGGAAUCUGCCUGGUAGUGGGGGAUAACGUCCGGAAACGGGCGCUAAUACCGCAUACGUCCUGAGGGAGAAAGUGGGGGAUCUUCGGACCUCACGCUAUCAGAUGAGCCUAGGUCGGAUUAGCUAGUUGGUGGGGUAAAGGCCUACCAAGGCGACGAUCCGUAACUGGUCGGAGAGGAUGAUCAGUCAACCGGGACCGGGGACCGGGUCCAGGCCCCUACGGGGGGCCGCAGGGGGGAAUUUUGGACAAGGGGGGAAAGCCUGUCCCACCCAUGCCGGGUGUGUGAAGAAGGUCUUCGGUUUUUAAAGCCUUUUAAGUUGGGGGGAAGGGAAGUAAGUUAAUACCUUGCUGUUUUGACGUUACCAACAGAAUAAGCCCCGGCUAACUUCGU
RNAcentral lists this ribosomal RNA (483 nucleotides) under uncultured bacterium. Its description in RNAcentral is "partial 16S ribosomal RNA". It matches the Rfam family "Bacterial small subunit ribosomal RNA", at positions 30 to 506 of the family's 1533-position model. The record is from RNAcentral.